AGUCAAUAGAUACCCUGGUAGUCCAUGCCGUAAACGAUGAUUGCUAGGUGUGGGGGGUCUGACCCCUUCCGUGCCGGAGUUAAACACAAUAAGCAAUCCACCUGGGGAGUACGGCCGCAAGGUUGAAACUCAAAGGAAUUGACGGGGGCCCGCACAAGCAGUGAAGUAUGUGGUUUAAAUUCGAAGCAACGCGAAGAACCUUACCAGGUCUUGACAUCCACCGAAUCCUGUAGAGAUACGGGAGUGCCCUUCGGGGAACGGUGAGACAGGUGGUGCAUGGUUGUCGUCAGCUCGUGUCGUGAGAUGUUGGGUUAAGUCCCGCAACGAGCGCAACCCUUGUGAAUAGUUGCUACGAAAGAGCACUCUAUUCAGACCGCCGUUGACAAAACGGAGGAAGGUGGGGAUGACGUCAAAUCAUCAUGCCCCUUAUGACCUGGGCUACACACGUACUACAAUGGCCGUUAACAGAGGGAUGCAAUGCCGCGAGGUGGAGCGAACCCCUAAAAACGGUCUCAGUUCAGAUUGCAGGCUGAAACUCGCCUGC
Molecule: ribosomal RNA, 544 nt
Filed under: uncultured bacterium
Lineage: Bacteria
Description: bacterial SSU rRNA
Rfam family: Bacterial small subunit ribosomal RNA
Source: RNAcentral